RNAcentral lists this transfer RNA (69 nucleotides) under Chagunius chagunio. RNAcentral describes it as "tRNA-Ala". It matches the Rfam family "tRNA". From Rfam's summary of the family: Transfer RNA (tRNA) molecules are approximately 80 nucleotides in length. The record is from RNAcentral. Lineage: Eukaryota; Metazoa; Chordata; Actinopteri; Cypriniformes; Cyprinidae.
AAGGCCUUAGCUUAAUAAAAGUGUCUGAUUUGCAAUCAGGAGAUGUGAGUUAGUCUCUCGCAGGUCUUA